GGAGUAGGGGAGGUGGUUGCUUCGUCCUCCGAAAGGAGGGACGGGGAGGAAAGUCCGGACUCCAAAGGACAGGAUGGUCGCUAGCGGCGACUUCGGGCAACCGAAGGAAAAUGCCACAGAAAACAAACCGCCCUGCGGAUUUAUUCGCGGGGUAAGGGUGAAACGGCGAGGUAAGAGCUCACCGGCCGGAUGGUGACAUUCGGCGCACGGUAAACCCCAUCCGGAGCAAGACCAAAAAGGCCCUCGAUGAGGCUGUCCGUCUCGAGGCGGGUAGGUCGCACAUCUUUCCGCUUCGGCGGGAAGUCAGAUAAAUAACCGCCGCCGCCUUCACCGGUGGUAACAGAAUCCGGCUUACGGCUUGCUCCAGCC
Molecule: RNase P RNA, 369 nt
Filed under: Acidobacteriota bacterium
Lineage: Bacteria; Pseudomonadati; Acidobacteriota
Description: Acidobacteria bacterium (groundwater metagenome) RNase P RNA component class A
Rfam family: Bacterial RNase P class A
About the family: Ribonuclease P (RNase P) is a ubiquitous endoribonuclease, found in archaea, bacteria and eukarya as well as chloroplasts and mitochondria. Its best characterised activity is the generation of mature 5'-ends of tRNAs by cleaving the 5'-leader elements of precursor-tRNAs. Cellular RNase Ps are ribonucleoproteins.
Source: RNAcentral